GCCGGAGUGAUGGAACUGGUAGACAUAGCGGACUCAAAAUCCGCCGGCCGGAGACGGCCGUGUGGGUUCGAAUCCCACCUCCGGCACCC
Molecule: transfer RNA, 89 nt
Filed under: Deltaproteobacteria bacterium
Lineage: Bacteria; Pseudomonadati; Myxococcota; Myxococcia
Description: tRNA-Leu
Rfam family: tRNA
About the family: Transfer RNA (tRNA) molecules are approximately 80 nucleotides in length. Their secondary structure includes four short double-helical elements and three loops (D, anti-codon, and T loops). Further hydrogen bonds mediate the characteristic L-shaped molecular structure. tRNAs have two regions of fundamental functional importance: the anti-codon, which is responsible for specific mRNA codon recognition, and the 3' end, to which the tRNAs corresponding amino acid is attached (by aminoacyl-tRNA synthetases). tRNAs cope with the degeneracy of the genetic code in two manners: having more than one tRNA (with a specific anti-codon) for a particular amino acid; and 'wobble' base-pairing, i.e. permitting non-standard base-pairing at the 3rd anti-codon position.
Source: RNAcentral